AAUUUGUUAUUUUGAGUUUUGUUUGAGUUUAAUUAGGUUUCCCUGUGCUAUGACUCAGAUUUUCUUCGAAACAUUAUCACUUAUUAUUUCCAAACAAAUUGAAAUAAUAAUUGAAGAUUGUAUGUAAAACAGCUGUUGUACGUAGUCAUUAACAUUCCCUUGAUAAGUAAUAUUUCGAAUUAACUUUUUUCGCGAUCGGUGUUUUAAAUUGUUGUUUUAAUUUUGCGAGGGGCUUUGUUUUUCCGGCUUAUGAAUAUAUAUACAUACCAGUGAAAUUGACGUAUAUCGUACAUUGUUUACGUAGAUUAUAUCUUGUUGUCACUUCAUCAUGGGAGACUUAAUAGAAAUAACAACAUGGCCCAAGCACCUGAAUGCAUUUUACAAGAUCACAAGUAAUGCCCUGGCUUUUGAAGUGAUGGCUAACGGCAAUGCUGCAAUAGGGCUGUCAAGGAAACCAGCUAAUGACUGUGAAUUUUGGAUUGUUAUGGGUGAAAGGCAGCAAUGCUGGAUUAAGAAGCACAAUAGCUCUCGUAGAGAGACAGCAAACACUCCUGGGAUCCUCAGCGGGGAGGAAUACCGCAAGUUUUGGUUGACUUGGGCCAACGGCUGUGUGCGCCUCGGCAGAGAUGGUUACUCUGAUGCCAUUGUUACAUGUGCCAAUGACAUAAAUGAUAUUAAAUAUGUUACAUUUUCGGUUGUGGAGCAGAGGAACCCUGUCCACUGGCGAUUUGAAAUACCACCACAAGCAGAGAAACUAAAUCACCAACCCAUAACAGGAUGUGACCUUCAGUGGGUGACGUACGAACCGGAGCAGGAGCUCCCGGCAGAGCCUCUGGUGGGGGGCUUUGAGGGUGAAAGGCUAUAUGUUGCUCGGGCAAAACACCGGGGCUCCCUGACGCCCGGGAAGUUCGUGUUUUCUGCUGGAAAAGCGUAUGUUUCGUGGGGAGGACAAGCUAAUGAGAAACAGGAAUUUGAGGUCCUGUGCGGUUUUGACGGAGUCUGGAAACCAGCUGUAGAGGAUAAAAUACCUGUAGGAGCUUUCGUCGCAGGCCAUUCCGAAGACGCGCUAGAAAGACUCUAUAUCGGCAGGGUAGAACAUGAGGGACACCUCAUUCCUGGGAAAAUCCAACCGUCACAUCGAGUAUGUUACUUCCCUUACCAAGGCAGAGAAGUGGGCUCCAAGAAAUAUGAAGUUCUAGUCGUCCCAACUGAAAACGAAAGAUGUGUUAAUAAAGUUUACGUAACAGACAGAUGUUGGCAACCUGAUAUGGAAGAUUAUGACGUGGCAGAUUCAGAUAUAUCUAAUGAUACCGACGAAGAGCCGUUUGCGGAGGGAGCUGAACCUGACGGCCCAGUUUACAUGUUCUAAUACAUUUUAAUUAUCAUGUAUUAGAAUUAGAUCUUAUAUACCUAUCAAACUCAGGAAGCAACCGUACCAAGGAGGUUCGGUUGUGGAACUCGCUACCUCUGGACUAGAGGCAUGCGCCGGCUGUUUCGUCGGAGGCGCCGACGCCAACGACGCGCCCUACAAGACUGAAAAUACUGCUCAAGUGGGCCCUAAGUCUUCAGUUGAUGGGGAAACUGUACUAUAUAUUGCUCAGGGGAUAACUAAGCAAAAUAUUAAUAUACAAUAUACAUCCCUUUUUCACUGAACGGCUUGGCAUGAGAAAGUUUAACUUAAUUAGUAAUCAUUAUAUUUACAUUGUUUGUAUUCGUGUCCUGUUAUUAUAAGAAAGGUGUCCUUGUUAAAAGGAGCAUUAAUACAGUUAAAUAAGUAGUGUAUGUAAGUAAAAUAAUAUGACAGUGGUUCUCUGUAUUUCAAGAUGGUUAAAAGAAGACAUGCUUUACGAUUGUAUUUGUCUCUAGCUACCUCGCUACUAUUAAUUAAGUAACAUAAUCGCCAUUCAUAACUGGGUGAUAAGUGAAUGUAAGUUUCUGGAUUUCCUUUUAGAUAAUUUAAUAGUGUAUAAUGUUAUCCCAUCUACCUAAAAAGUUACGUAUUGUAUUUGUAAUAAUUAAAAAAAACAUAAUGAACACA
This is an RNA transcript of Cydia pomonella (codling moth), 2038 nucleotides long. RefSeq lists it as uncharacterized. NCBI's taxonomy places the organism in Eukaryota, Metazoa, Arthropoda, Insecta, Lepidoptera, Tortricidae. The record is from RefSeq and is a predicted model, not a curated record. The transcript has 7 exons.